GUGGCGAACGGGUGAGUAACACGUGGGUGAUCUGCCCUGCACUCUGGGAUAAGCCUGGGAAACUGGGUCUAAUACCGGAUAUGAGCUCCUGUCGCAUGGCGGGGGUUGGAAAGGUUUACUGGUGCAGGAUGGGCCCGCGGCCUAUCAGCUUGUUGGUGGGGUAAUGGCCUACCAAGGCGACGACGGGUAGCCGGCCUGAGAGGGCGACCGGCCACACUGGGACUGAGACACGGCCCAGACUCCUACGGGAGGCAGCAGUGGGGAAUAUUGCACAAUGGGCGAAAGCCUGAUGCAGCGACGCCGCGUGAGGGAUGACGGCCUUCGGGUUGUAAACCUCUUUCAGCAGGGACGAAGCGAGAGUGACGGUACCUGCAGAAGAAGCACCGGCCAACUACGUGCCAGCAGCCGCGGUAAUACGUAGGGUGCGAGCGUUGUCCGGAAUUACUGGGCGUAAAGAGCUCGUAGGCGGUUUGUCGCGUCGUCCGUGAAAACUUGGGGCUCAACCCCAAGCUUGCGGGCGAUACGGGCAGACUUGAGUACUGCAGGGGAGACUGGAAUUCCUGGUGUAGCGGUGAAAUGCGCAGAUAUCAGGAGGAACACCGGUGGCGAAGGCGGGUCUCUGGGCAGUAACUGACGCUGAGGAGCGAAAGCGUGGGUAGCGAACAGGAUUAGAUACCCUG
This 680-nucleotide ribosomal RNA is filed under the name Rhodococcus (subgen. Prescottella) equi. Its description in RNAcentral is "Prescottella equi bacterial SSU rRNA". It matches the Rfam family "Bacterial small subunit ribosomal RNA", at positions 95 to 789 of the family's 1533-position model. The record is from RNAcentral. Lineage: Bacteria; Bacillati; Actinomycetota; Actinomycetes; Mycobacteriales; Nocardiaceae.